This 449-nucleotide ribosomal RNA is filed under the name uncultured bacterium. RNAcentral's name for it is "partial 16S ribosomal RNA". It matches the Rfam family "Bacterial small subunit ribosomal RNA", at positions 29 to 523 of the family's 1533-position model. The record is from RNAcentral.
AACGAACGCUGGCGGCAUGCCUAAUACAUGCAAGUCGAACGAGAUCUUCGGAUCUAGUGGCGCACGGGUGCGUAACGCGUGGGAAUCUGCCCUUGGGUUCGGAAUAACAGCGGGAAACUGCUGCUAAUACCGGAUGAUGACGUAAGUCCAAAGAUUUAUCGCCCAGGGAUGAGCCCGCGUAGGAUUAGGUAGUUGGUGGGGUAAAGGCCUACCAAGCCUACGAUCCUUAGCUGGUCUGAGAGGAUGAUCAGCCACACUGGGACUGAGACACGGCCCAGACUCCUACGGGAGGCAGCAGUAGGGAAUAUUGGACAAUGGGGGCAACCCUGAUCCAGCAAUGCCGCGUGAGUGAAGAAGGCCUUAGGGUUGUAAAGCUCUUUUACCCGGGAUGAUAAUGACAGUACCGGGAGAAUAAGCCCCGGCUAACUACGUGCCAGCCGCCGCGGUAA